This 406-nucleotide ribosomal RNA is filed under the name uncultured bacterium. Its description in RNAcentral is "partial 16S ribosomal RNA". It matches the Rfam family "Bacterial small subunit ribosomal RNA", at positions 29 to 526 of the family's 1533-position model. The record is from RNAcentral.
AUUGAACGCUGGCGGCAGGCCUAACACAUGCAAGUCGAACGAGUGGCGGACGGGUGAGUAAUGUCUGGGAAACUGCCUGAUGGAGGGGGAUAACUACUGGAAACGGUAGCUAAUACCGCAUACCCUCGGUUGGGCCCAGAUGGGAUUAGCUAGUAGGUGGGGUAAAGGAUCACCUAGGCGACGCUCACUAGCUGGUCUGAGAGGAUGACCAGCCACACGGGAACUGAGACACGGUCCAGACGCCUACGGGAGGCAGAAGUGGGGAAUAGUGGACAAUGGGCGCAAGCCUGAUGCAGCCAUGCCGGGUGUAUGAAGAAGGCCUUCGGGUUGUAAAGUACGUUCAGCGGGGAGGCGUUACCCGCAGAAGAAGCACCGGCUAACUCCGUGCCAGCAGCCGCGGUAAUAC